This 1499-nucleotide ribosomal RNA is filed under the name uncultured bacterium. RNAcentral describes it as "bacterial SSU rRNA". It matches the Rfam family "Bacterial small subunit ribosomal RNA". The record is from RNAcentral.
UGGUUCGAUUCUGGCUCAGGAUGAACGCUGGCGGCAUGCCUAAUACAUGCAAGUCGAACGGAGUGAAGCCUUCGGGUUUCAUUCAGUGGCGAACGGGUGAGUAAUACGCAGGGAACCUGGCCAUGGCAGGGGGAUACACUCUGGAAACGGAGCAUAAGACCCCAUAGGCAGUAAGGCGGCAUCGCCUUACUGUUAAAGAAAGCUGAAAGGCUUUGGCGAUGGAUGGACCUGCGGUGCAUUAGCUUGUUGGUGAGGCAACGGCUUACCAAGGCGAUGAUGCAUAGCCGGCCUGAGAGGGCGGACGGCCACACUGGGACUGAGACACGGCCCAGACUCCUGCGGGAGGCAGCAGUAGGGAAUUUUCGUCAAUGGGCGCAAGCCUGAACGAGCAAUGCCGCGUGAGUGAGGAAGGUCUUCGGACUGUAAAGCUCUGUUGCCGGGGAAAAAGGGGAAAUGCAGGAAAUGGCAUUUCAUGGAUGGUACCCGGCCAGAAAGCCACGGCUAACUACGUGCCAGCAGCCGCGGUAAUACGUAGGUGGCGAGCGUUAUCCGGAAUGAUUGGGCGUAAAGGGUGCGCAGGCGGUCUGUUAAGUCUGAAGGCAAAGGGAUGAGCUCAACUCAUUUAUGAUUCAGAAACUGGCAGACUUGAGGACAGGAGAGGGCGGUGGAACUCCAUGUGUAGCGGUAAAAUGCGCAGAGAUAUGGAAGAACACCAGUGGCGAAGGCGGCCGCCUGGCCUGUGACUGACGCUGAGGCACGAAAGCGUGGGGAGCAAAUAGGAUUAGAUACCCUAGUAGUCCACGCCGUAAACGAUGAGGAGCAGGUGUUGGGAGUGAAAUCUCAGUGCCGAAGCCAACGCAGUGACUCCUCCGCCUGGGGAGUAUGCACGCAAGUGUGAAACUCAAAGGAAUUGACGGGGGCCCGCACAAGCGGUGGAGUAUGUGGUUUAAUUCGAAGCAACGCGAAGAACCUUACCAGGUUUUGACAUCGGAUGCGAAGGCGCAGAGAUGCGCUGGAGGCUAUCAUCCAGACAGGUGGUGCAUGGUUGUCGUCAGCUCGUGUCGUGAGAUGUUCAGUUAAGUCUGGCAACGAGCGCAACCCCCGUGGUAUGUUACUAACGCAUUUGGGCGAGGACUCAUAUCAGACUGCCGGUGACAAACCGGAGGAAGGCGGGGAUGACGUCAAAUCAUCAUGCCCCUUAUGACCUGGGCUACACACGUACUACAAUGGCGUCUACAGAGGGAAGCGACCCUGAGAAGGGAAGCGAAACCGGAAAAGGGCGUCCCAGUUCGGAUUGAAGUCUGCAACCCGACUUCAUGAAGAUGGAAUCGCUAGUAAUCGCGGAUCAGCAUGCCGCGGUGAAUACGUUCCCGGGCCUUGUACACACCGCCCGUCAAACCAUGGAAGCCGGCAACGCCCGAAGCCGGUGGCAUAACCUUUUAGGAGUGAGCCGUCGAAGGCGGGGCCGAUGACUGGGGUUAAGUCGUAACAAGGUACCC